Molecule: long non-coding RNA, 223 nt
Organism: Hemicordylus capensis (graceful crag lizard)
Lineage: Eukaryota; Metazoa; Chordata; Lepidosauria; Squamata; Cordylidae
Exons: 2
Source: RefSeq, a predicted model, not a curated record
CGGCGAGGAGGUGGGCGAGCAGAGGAGGCUAGCAGAGGAAGUGGGAGGCAGUGGUGGAGGUGGUAGCGGGAUGGCCCUGGCCCUGAGGAAGGCGGCUUGACUGCAUUUUUUAAUUCUAUACCACCCUUUGUCCUGAGACGCCAGGUUGAUGAACCUACAAUUGAAAACAAUAAUAGUUUAAUUAAAAAUAUCCUUAAAAUGGAUAAAGCUACAGACAGCAAAA